GCGGGUGUGGCGGAACUGGCAGACGCACCAGACUUAGGAUCUGGCGCCUUUGGCGUGGGGGUUCAAGUCCCUCCACCCGCACCA
Molecule: transfer RNA, 84 nt
Filed under: Anoxybacillus flavithermus NBRC 109594
Lineage: Bacteria; Bacillati; Bacillota; Bacilli; Caryophanales; Anoxybacillaceae
Also listed under: 1 other name
Description: tRNA-Leu
Rfam family: tRNA
About the family: Transfer RNA (tRNA) molecules are approximately 80 nucleotides in length.
Source: RNAcentral